AUACGGAGGAUCCGAGCGUUAUCCGGAUUUAUUGGGUUUAAAGGGUGCGCAGGCGGCCAUUUAAGUCAGCGGUUAAAUCGUGGGGCUCAACCCCAUUCUGCCGUUGAUACUGGGUGGCUUGAUUGCGGUCGAGGUUGGCGGAAUUCGUUGUGUAGCGGGGAAAUGCAUAGAUAUGACGAAGAACACCGAUUGCGUAGGCAGCUGGCCAGACCGCAAAUGACGCUCAUGCACGAAAGUGCGGGGAUCGAACAGGAUUAGAUACCCUGGUAGUCCGCACAGUAAACGAUGAAUACUUGUUUUCGGCGAUAUAAUGUCGGAGGCAAAGCGAAAGCGAUAAGUAUUCCACCUGGGGAGUACGCCGGCAACGGUGAAACUCAAAUGAAUUGGCGGGG
RNAcentral lists this ribosomal RNA (392 nucleotides) under uncultured bacterium. Its description in RNAcentral is "partial 16S ribosomal RNA". It matches the Rfam family "Bacterial small subunit ribosomal RNA", at positions 523 to 918 of the family's 1533-position model. The record is from RNAcentral.